Molecule: ribosomal RNA, 789 nt
Filed under: uncultured bacterium
Lineage: Bacteria
Description: bacterial SSU rRNA
Rfam family: Bacterial small subunit ribosomal RNA
Source: RNAcentral
AGAGUUUGAUCAUGGCUCAGAUUGAACGCUGGCGGCAUGCCUUACACAUGCAAGUCGAACGGCAGCGCGGGGCAACCUGGCGGCGAGUGGCGAACGGGUGAGUAAUAUAUCGGAACGUGCCCUGGAGUGGGGGAUAACGCAGCGAAAGUUGCGCUAAUACCGCAUACGAUCUAAGGAUGAAAGCAGGGGACCUUCGGGCCUUGUGCUCCUGGAGCGGCCGAUAUCUGAUUAGCUAGUUGGUGGGGUAAAGGCCUACCAAGGCAUCGAUCAGUAGCUGGUCUGAGAGGACGACCAGCCACACUGGAACUGAGACACGGUCCAGACUCCUACGGGAGGCAGCAGUGGGGAAUUUUGGACAAUGGGCGCAAGCCUGAUCCAGCAAUGCCGCGUGAGUGAAGAAGGCCUUCGGGUUGUAAAGCUCUUUUGUCAGGGAAGAAACGGUUGUGGCUAAUAUCCAUGGCUAAUGACGGUACCUGAAGAAUAAGCACCGGCUAACUACGUGCCAGCAGCCGCGGUAAUACGUAGGGUGCAAGCGUUAAUCGGAAUUACUGGGCGUAAAGCGUGCGCAGGCGGUUUUGUAAGUCUGUCGUGAAAUCCCCGGGCUCAACCUGGGAAUUGCGAUGGAGACUGCAAGGCUAGAAUCUGGCAGAGGGGGGUAGAAUUCCACGUAGCAGUGAAAUGCGUAGAGAUGUGGAGGAACACCGAUGGCGAAGGCAGCCCCCUGGGUCAAGAUUGACGCUCAUGCACGAAAGCGUGGGGAGCAAACAGGAUUAGAUACCCUAGUAGUCC